RNAcentral lists this ribosomal RNA (1575 nucleotides) under Triticum aestivum (bread wheat). RNAcentral describes it as "partial small subunit ribosomal RNA". Lineage: Eukaryota; Viridiplantae; Streptophyta; Magnoliopsida; Poales; Poaceae. The record is from RNAcentral.
AUGAGGGUUGUGAGCAUGUUGACGAUGGCUCGUGCGGCGUGGCUGGUGCUGCGGUACACGGUGGUGGUGCCCCUGCUGCAGCUGGCCAUCUACCUCUGCGCUGCCAUGUCCCUCAUGCUCUUUGCUGAACGCCUCUACAUGGGCCUCGUUGUCACCGUGCUCUGGCUCAAUCGCCGAUGCCGUAACCACAACCAAAGGAACAAGGGCGACGACGACAAUCUGAAGAGCGAUGACGCAGACCGACCCAUGGUCCUGGUCCAGAUCCCCAUGUUCAACGAGGAGCAGGUGUACCGUGUUUCCAUCGGCGCGGCUUGCGGCCUGUGGUGGCCGGCCGACAAGCUGGUGAUCCAGGUGCUGGACGACUCCACGGACACCGGCAUCCGGUCCCUGGUGGAGGCCGAGUGCCGACGGUGGGCGGGCAAGGGGGUGCACAUCCGGUACGAGAAUCGCAGCAACCGGAGCGGCUACAAGGCGGGCGCCCUGCGGGAGGGCCUCAAGAAGCAGUACGUAAAAGACUGCGAGUUCGUGGCCGUCUUGGACGCUGACUUCCAGCCGAACGGCGACUUCCUCCAGCACACUGUCCCCGUGCUCCAGGCGGACCCGGCCGUGGCGCUGGUGCAGGCGCGGUGGCGGUUCGUGAACGCGGACGAGUGCAUCCUCACCCGCAUGCAGGAGAUGUCGCUGGACUACCACUUUUCGGUGGAGCAGGAGGUCGGGUCGGCCUGCCACGGCUUCUUCAGCUUCAACGGCACUGCCGGGGUGUGGCGGGUGCACGCCCUGGCCGACGCGGGGGGCUGGAAGGACCGCACCACCGUGGAGGAUAUGGACCUGGCCGUCAGGGCGUCCAUGCGGGGCUGGAGGUUCGUCUACGCCGACGACGUGCAGGUGCGCAGCCAGCUGCCCAGCAGCUUCAAGGCGUACCGGUACCAGCAGCACCGGUGGUCGUGUGGGCCGGCCAACCUCAUGCGCAAGAUGUUCUGGGAGAUCGUCGCCAACAGGCAGGUGUCGGCGUGGAAGAAGCUCCACGUGCUCUACGCCUUCUUCUUGGUCAGGAAGGUGGUGGCGCAUCUGGUGACAUUCAUGUUGUACUGCGUCGUCAUCCCGGCCUACGCGCUCGUCGGCGGCCAGGACGUGCGGCUCCCACAGUACGUGCCCAUGUACGUGUCGGCCGUCCUCACCCUGCUCAACGCCGCGUGCACCCCGAGGUCCUGCCACCUGCUCGUCUUCUGGAUCCCCUUCGAGAACGUCAUGUCCAUGCACCGCUCCAAGGCCACCAUCAUCGGGCUCCUCGAGGCCAGCCGCGCAAACGAGUGGGUCGUCACCGAGAAGCUCGGCGGCUUCACGACCUCCACUCCUGCUGCCGCCACCACCACCAUGGCCAAGAAGACGAAGAAGAAGAAGAAGAAGAAGAAGAGCAGCAGCAGCUUCCUGGCGCCGGAGAUCGUCAUGGGGCUCUUCUUGCUCUACUGCGCUCUCUACGACAUGGUAUUCGGCCACGACCACUUGUAUGUCUACCUCCUCAUGCAGUCCGCCGCCGCCUUCGUCAUCGGAUUCGGCUACGUCGGCUCCCAAUGA